This 108-nucleotide ribosomal RNA is filed under the name uncultured eukaryote. RNAcentral's name for it is "partial small subunit ribosomal RNA". It matches the Rfam family "Eukaryotic small subunit ribosomal RNA", at positions 1676 to 1785 of the family's 1831-position model. The record is from RNAcentral.
UCGCACCUACCGAUUGGAUGGUCCGGUGAAGCCUCGGGAUUGUGACCGGUGCCUUUACUGGUGUCGGUCGCGAGAACUUGUCUAAACCUUAUCAUCUAGAGGAAGGUG